Molecule: transfer RNA, 72 nt
Filed under: Camelus bactrianus (Bactrian camel)
Lineage: Eukaryota; Metazoa; Chordata; Mammalia; Artiodactyla; Camelidae
Also listed under: 2 other names
Rfam family: tRNA
About the family: Transfer RNA (tRNA) molecules are approximately 80 nucleotides in length.
Source: Rfam by way of RNAcentral
GAGGGUACAGCUCAGUGGUGGAGCACAUGCUUAGCAUGCACGAGGUCCUGGUUUCAAUCCCCAGUACUUCCA